AUUGAACGCUGGCGGCAGGCCUAACACAUGCAAGUCGAGCGGAGCGGCGGACGGGUGAGUAACGCCUAGGAAUCUGCCUGGCAGCGGGGGAUAACGUCCGGAAACGGGCGCUAAUACUGCAUACUAUCAGAUGAGCCUAGGUCGGAUUAGCUCGUUGGGGGGCUAAAGGCCUACCUAGGCGACGAUCCGUAACUGGUCCGAGAGGAAGAUCAGUCACAAUGGAACUGAGACACGGUCCAGACUCCUACAGUAGGAAGCAGUGAGGAAUAUUGGACAAUGGGCGAAACCCUGGUCCAGCCAUGCCGGGUGUGUAGAAAAGGUCUUCGGAUUGUAGAGCACUUAAAGUUGGUAGGCGUUACCAACAGAAUAAGCACCGGCUAGCUUCGUGCCAACCGCCGCGGUAAUAC
RNAcentral lists this ribosomal RNA (407 nucleotides) under uncultured bacterium. RNAcentral describes it as "partial 16S ribosomal RNA". It matches the Rfam family "Bacterial small subunit ribosomal RNA", at positions 30 to 526 of the family's 1533-position model. The record is from RNAcentral.